Molecule: ribosomal RNA, 253 nt
Filed under: uncultured bacterium
Lineage: Bacteria
Description: partial 16S ribosomal RNA
Rfam family: Bacterial small subunit ribosomal RNA
Source: RNAcentral
UACGUAGGUGGCUAGCGUUGUCCGGAUUUACUGGGCGUAAAGAGCGCGCAGGCGGUCGUUCAAGUCGAGUGUGAAAGCCCCCGGCUCAACUGGGGAGGGUCACUCGAUACUGGUCGACUCGAAGGCAGGAGAGGGAAGCGGAAUUCCCGGUGUAGUGGUGAAAUGCGUAGAUAUCGGGAGGAACACCAGUGGCGAAGGCGGCUUUCUGGCCUGUUCUUGACGCUGAGGCGCGAAAGCUAGGGUAGCAAACGGG